Planococcus citri (citrus mealybug) is the source of this 759-nucleotide long non-coding RNA. RefSeq lists it as uncharacterized. Lineage: Eukaryota; Metazoa; Arthropoda; Insecta; Hemiptera; Pseudococcidae. The transcript is spliced from 2 exons. The record is from RefSeq and is a predicted model, not a curated record.
UAUGGAUAUAUUAGAUGUUAGAUACUAAUGUGUAAAUGAUGCUAUGUAUUCUUAUUCUUACCAAUACUCUUGCCCCACCCACAAGUUGUUGUGACUGGGGACAUUCUUGAUUUAUUCAUUUAUAGUGCUAAUUGAUGUAAUAUUUUGUAAUAGGCAAUACUUACGUAGUUUUGAAAAAUAUGAAAAAAUUGGCUUUAAAAGUGGGAUGAUUUUUUCAAGGUGGGCAAAGCUCAUUAAAAUUCGUUAAAAUACCAACUUACGUUAUUAAUUGAUUAAUAAGCUCAAUGCGAUCUCAAAGUACAUACUUACUAAGUACAAUAUAAUUAUAGCUGUUUUGGAAGAUUUAACCAAUAAGUUUAUUCGUUUGUUUAAUUUUGAGUUCGAAGUUUGUUUGAAAAUCCAAGGAAAGAAUUAUUUCUACUUCAUAUUUAGGAAAAUUAAGUGCAAUGAGGUUAUCAGUGACUCAACUUUUCAUGCUGGUUGUUCUGAUUGGAAUAUGUACUGGUCGUCGGAGUAGUCAUCAGGUUCGUCGAGGUUCUACUGGCCAUGUUCCACCUUGUAAAAACUAUGACAGGACGUUCUCAAGUUAUGAGGAGUGUGAUAAGGGGUGCGCAGAUCACUGCGAAAUGUUCCCCUGUAAUGGAUGGUGUCAGAAUAACGGCGUAUGCUUUUGUAUUUCAAGAUAUUAAUCCUUAUUUUACGUUGUUUAUAUUUUGUUGGCGGAAUAUUUAAAAAAUAUACUUAAUUACCGUGUUUUCA